UGCAGUCGAGCGGACAGAUGGGAGCUUGCUCCCUGAUGUUAGCGGCGGACGGGUGAGUAACACGUGGGUAACCUGCCUGUAAGACUGGGAUAACUCCGGGAAACCGGGGCUAAUACCGGAUGGUUGUCUGAACCGCAUGGUUCAGACAUAAAAGGUGGCUUCGGCUACCACUUACAGAUGGACCCGCGGCGCAUUAGCUAGUUGGUGAGGUAACGGCUCACCAAGGCGACGAUGCGUAGCCGACCUGAGAGGGUGAUCGGCCACACUGGGACUGAGACACGGCCCAGACUCCUACGGGAGGCAGCAGUAGGGAAUCUUCCGCAAUGGACGAAAGUCUGACGGAGCAACGCCGCGUGAGUGAUGAAGGUUUUCGGAUCGUAAAGCUCUGUUGUUAGGGAAGAACAAGUGCCGUUCAAAUAGGGCGGCACCUUGACGGUACCUAACCAGAAAGCCACGGCUAACUACGUGCCAGCAGCCGCGGUAAUACGUAGGUGGCAAGCGUUGUCCGGAAUUAUUGGGCGUAAAGGGCUCGCAGGCGGUUUCUUAAGUCUGAUGUGAAAGCCCCCGGCUCAACCGGGGAGGGUCAUUGGAAACUGGGGAACUUGAGUGCAGAAGAGGAGAGUGGAAUUCCACGUGUAGCGGUGAAAUGCGUAGAGAUGUGGAGGAACACCAGUGGCGAAGGCGACUCUCUGGUCUGUAACUGACGCUGAGGAGCGAAAGCGUGGGGAGCGAACAGGAUUAGAUACCCUGGUAGUCCACGCCGUAAACGAUGAGUGCUAAGUGUUAGGGGGUUUCCGCCCCUUAGUGCUGCAGCUAACGCAUUAAGCACUCCGCCUGGGGAGUACGGUCGCAAGACUGAAACUCAAAGGAAUUGACGGGGGCCCGCACAAGCGGUGGAGCAUGUGGUUUAAUUCGAAGCAACGCGAAGAACCUUACCAGGUCUUGACAUCCUCUGACAAUCCUAGAGAUAGGACGUCCCCUUCGGGGGCAGAGUGACAGGUGGUGCAUGGUUG
This 1013-nucleotide ribosomal RNA is filed under the name Bacillus sp. NCCP-2413. RNAcentral describes it as "bacterial SSU rRNA". It matches the Rfam family "Bacterial small subunit ribosomal RNA", at positions 56 to 1051 of the family's 1533-position model. The record is from RNAcentral. Lineage: Bacteria; Bacillati; Bacillota; Bacilli; Caryophanales; Bacillaceae.